Molecule: ribosomal RNA, 253 nt
Filed under: uncultured bacterium
Lineage: Bacteria
Description: partial 16S ribosomal RNA
Rfam family: Bacterial small subunit ribosomal RNA
Source: RNAcentral
CACGUAGGGCGCGAGCGUUGUCCGGAAUUAUUGGGCGUAAAGAGCUCGUAGGCGGCCUGUUGCGUCCGCUGUGAAAGCCCGGGGCUUAACCCCGGGUCGGCAGUGGAUACGGGCAGGCUAGAGGUAGGUAGGGGAGAAUGGAAUUCCCGGUGUAGCGGUGAAAUGCGCAGAUAUCGAGAGGAACACCGGUGGCGAAGGCGGCCAACUGGACGAAUACUGACGCUGAGACACGAAAGCGUGGGGAGCAAACAGG